RNAcentral lists this small RNA (28 nucleotides) under Bombyx mori (domestic silkworm). RNAcentral's name for it is "ovarian small RNA-34266". The record is from RNAcentral. Lineage: Eukaryota; Metazoa; Arthropoda; Insecta; Lepidoptera; Bombycidae.
UGCUUAGUUGGGUAGAUGAGCUCACAGC